GACGAACGCUGGCGGCGUGCUUAACACAUGCAAGUCGAACGGAAAGGCCCUGCUUGCAGGGUACUCGAGUGGCGAACGGGUGAGUAACACGUGGGUGAUCUGCCCUGCACUUCGGGAUAAGCCUGGGAAACUGGGUCUAAUACUGGAUAGGAGCCAUUUUUAGUGUGAUGGUUGGAAAGUUUUUUCGGUGUAGGAUGAGCUCGCGGCCUAUCAGCUUGUUGGUGGGGUAAUGGCCUACCAAGGCGGCGACGGGUAGCCGGCCUGAGAGGGUGGACGGCCACAUUGGGACUGAGAUACGGCCCAGACUCCUACGGGAGGCAGCAGUGGGGAAUAUUGCACAAUGGGCGCAAGCCUGAUGCAGCGACGCCGCGUGGGGGAUGACGGCCUUCGGGUUGUAAACUCCUUUCGCUAGGGACGAAGCUUUUUGUGACGGUACCUAGAUAAGAAGCACCGGCUAACUACGUG
RNAcentral lists this ribosomal RNA (465 nucleotides) under uncultured bacterium. Its description in RNAcentral is "partial 16S ribosomal RNA". It matches the Rfam family "Bacterial small subunit ribosomal RNA", at positions 28 to 507 of the family's 1533-position model. The record is from RNAcentral.